NNNNCCUAAAGAUAUAUCUUUCUAUGGUCUGCUGGCCAUUUCAGAACUUGGGCAGUGAAAUGGUCAAUUCAUUAGAAAGAAACAGUU
This 87-nucleotide small nucleolar RNA is filed under the name Cavia aperea (Brazilian guinea pig). The record is from RNAcentral. Lineage: Eukaryota; Metazoa; Chordata; Mammalia; Rodentia; Caviidae.